Molecule: transfer RNA, 103 nt
Filed under: Candidatus Woesearchaeota archaeon
Lineage: Archaea; Nanobdellati; Candidatus Woesearchaeota
Description: tRNA-Gly
Rfam family: tRNA
About the family: Transfer RNA (tRNA) molecules are approximately 80 nucleotides in length.
Source: RNAcentral
GCGCCGGUAGUAUAAUGGCUAGAGUUUGUGCGUUAAAACACACAAGCGGCUUAAAUUUCGGCCUUCCAAGUCGGAGAUCCGGGUUCGACCCCCGGCCGGCGCA